This 638-nucleotide ribosomal RNA is filed under the name uncultured bacterium. RNAcentral describes it as "bacterial SSU rRNA". It matches the Rfam family "Bacterial small subunit ribosomal RNA", at positions 8 to 635 of the family's 1533-position model. The record is from RNAcentral.
AGAGUUUGAUCAUGGCUCAGGAUGAACGUCAGCUACAGGCUUAACACAUGCAAGUCGAGGGGCAGCGGGAUUGAAGCUUGCUUCAAUUGCCGGCGACCGGCGCACGGGUGAGUAACGCGUAUCCAACCUUCCGCUUACUCGGGGAUAGCCUUUCGAAAGAAAGAUUAAUACCCGAUGGUAUGAUGAGAUUGCAUGAUAGCAUCAUUAAAGAUUUAUUGGUAAGCGAUGGGGAUGCGUUCCAUUAGGUAGUAGGCGGGGUAACGGCCCACCUAGCCUACGAUGGAUAGGGGUUCUGAGAGGAAGGUCCCCUAUAUUGGAACUGAGACACGGUCCAAACUCCUACGGGAGGCAGCAGUGAGGAAUAUUGGUCAAUGGACGAGAGUCUGAACCAGCCAAGUAGCGUGAAGGAUGAAGGUCCUACGGAUUGUAAACUUCUUUUAUAAGGGAAUAAAACCUCCCACGUGUGGGAGCUUGUAUGUACCUUAUGAAUAAGCAUCGGCUAACUCCGUGCCAGCAGCCGCGGUAAUACGGAGGAUGCGAGCGUUAUCCGGAUUUAUUGGGUUUAAAGGGAGCGCAGACGGGUCGUUAAGUCAGCUGUGAAAGUUUGGGGCUCAACCUUAAAAUUGCAGUUGAUACUG